Molecule: long non-coding RNA, 2037 nt
Filed under: Carassius auratus (goldfish)
Lineage: Eukaryota; Metazoa; Chordata; Actinopteri; Cypriniformes; Cyprinidae
Description: lncRNA (ENSCARG00000032276.1)
Source: RNAcentral
ACAUAUAUUUAUACCUAUUAUUGUAUUGGUCAUACUAUACAAUGAUUCAUAGCUUGUCUUUGUUGAAAACUACAGAACAUAAAGAGCAUUAAAAAAUAAUUGGAUUUAAAUCGCAAUAUUGGUAAAAAAAAUAAAUAAAUAAAGCGCAAUUAGAUUAUUUUCCAAAAUUCUUCAGGUCACGAUCACUUUAAAACAAUCAGUUAAAUAUAUUUUACCCGGAUCAGUCACAAAAACACUGUUUUGUAUGUUUUUUAAAGCCUUUUGUUUUUCAGGGACACAGGAAGUGACCUCAUAAACCAUGUUUACAUUGUAGUACCCAGAGCCAUAUAGAGUGAGAGUUGCGACAACUCCAUUGACUCCAAUGGAACGCUUUUUUUUACAGCAAUGGCGGCUCGUGGAGCCUCUCAAUAGUUCCCGGAAGUAGCGGCAAACCGAUGCCGCGCCGUAGAAGAUGCAGCAGAACAAACCGUUUGCGACGCACUUUUAACAGGUCUAGGGGUGCAUCGUGGAGCAGGGCCCUCCUCUUUUUGACCACAGGACGGUGUACAAAGAUUGUGGGAAUAGCAUCUGGUCUCAGCCUACUCUUGAAUUUUUUGGUCAUGACAAAUUGCAUUGCCGCAAUUUGUCUGCAUACUGACUUCAGUUUAGUUUCCACACACACCUUUUUUUUGUCUACCCACUUACAGUACAUAUCACAUGGUGGUUAAAUGCACAGUUAUAGGUAACACUGAUGACUCCCUGCAAUGUCUCACCAUGAGUCUCAGCUCCCUGGGUUUUGCAAGGCUUUGCUUGUUCCUUAUUUCUAGUAAAACAUUGUCAAUGUAAAAAAGUGCAAAUAAAUGUAAGUAUAAUUACCUAACAAUUUUUUGUUGUUGUAAUUUGUAUUUGUAUUUAGAUUGCUCCUGCUGACUUGAGCCAACCAUUAUUUUCUCCUCUCUAUGUCAGCGGGGAAGCCAUACAUUCGCACACCUUUCUCUGACUGAGUGGAGCAUCCCCAUGCAGCACAGUAAACCACGGUGGAGACUAUGCAAGGACAACAUGAAAGAAAGGACACAUACAAAAUGCUUGUCAUGCUAUUAAAUUUAUUAGAAAUGUAUUCAUGAAUUGCUGUAAAUAGUUAAUUGUAUAAUUACAAUUUAAAAUAACUGUUUUCUAUUUUAAAAUGGAAUAUACUCCUGUGAUGCCAACCUGAAUUUUCAGCAUCAUUUUGAAUGGCAGUGUACAUGUUUAUAUACGAGCAUGCUUAAGUUGUUUUAAACCUGAAUAUAUUGUGUACAUGAAUAAGUAUUGUAAGAAUUAUACUAGAUAUAAUAGGUAUAUUAUUUAUAAUACAUAAUUAUAUUACUAUAUGUAAUUGUAAGAAUUAUAAACAGUAAGCUUCAUUUUACAUUUAUUUAACAUGCUAAUUACUGCUGGUAACAGUUAAUUGACCCAUAGUGCGGUGCGAGCUGAAAAUCACCUGUUACCAGCCUGUCUCUGUACUACCUGAAAGUCAUCGAUAUGACAUGAGUUAACAUUAGAUCAGUGAAAAAAUGGACAAUAUGUAACGUAAAAAGGCAACAGCAACCCGUGUUUAUAAAACUUAACGUUAGCCUGAAAUACGUUUUUAAAAUAACGGUAAUUGAACACUAAUCCUCAAAUAUUACCCGAUUUGAUAUUUUAAAAACAACAUCGCUAACUACAUACUCCUGCUACAUACAUAUGUCAGUGUGUUGUAUAAACAUAUAAAAUAAAUGCAUUUAUUGACUCCUUAUUACCAGAAAUCGCCGUUCUGUCACUCUACUCUAUCAGUUUGAAUGGCCGCCAAUGCACUUCCUGGAACUAUUUGAAGUCUACACGAAUCACGUGACAACCAAACAUUUCGAACUUCCGUUGUCGCAACUCUCUCUCUAUAUGGCUCUGGUAGUACCCAAGACAUUAUACACAUUUGUGUCCUCAUAAACCAUACACAAACACAAACAAACCUCUGCAAACUGCUUCUCUCCUACAGCCAUGCCAGUCUCUCAGCACAGGAAAAACACUCAAAAGAGCUCUUUU